AGGUUCAGCUCAUCUCUCUGAUAAAAUUGGAACGAUACAAAGAAGAUUAGCAUGACCCAUGCGCAAGGAUGACACGCACAAAUCGAGAAAUGGUCCAAAUUUUU
Vitis vinifera (wine grape) is the source of this 104-nucleotide small nuclear RNA. NCBI's taxonomy places the organism in Eukaryota, Viridiplantae, Streptophyta, Magnoliopsida, Vitales, Vitaceae. The record is from RefSeq and is a predicted model, not a curated record.